GGUUUCAUAGUGUAGCUGGUUAUCACUGCGGUCUCUGAAACAUUCAAGAAAUCCGCCGACCCGAGUUCGAAUCUCGGUGAGACCU
Transfer RNA from Sugiyamaella lignohabitans, 85 nucleotides. It matches the Rfam family "tRNA". From Rfam's summary of the family: Transfer RNA (tRNA) molecules are approximately 80 nucleotides in length. Their secondary structure includes four short double-helical elements and three loops (D, anti-codon, and T loops). Further hydrogen bonds mediate the characteristic L-shaped molecular structure. tRNAs have two regions of fundamental functional importance: the anti-codon, which is responsible for specific mRNA codon recognition, and the 3' end, to which the tRNAs corresponding amino acid is attached (by aminoacyl-tRNA synthetases). tRNAs cope with the degeneracy of the genetic code in two manners: having more than one tRNA (with a specific anti-codon) for a particular amino acid; and 'wobble' base-pairing, i.e. permitting non-standard base-pairing at the 3rd anti-codon position. NCBI's taxonomy places the organism in Eukaryota, Fungi, Ascomycota, Dipodascomycetes, Dipodascales, Trichomonascaceae. The record is from Rfam.